Molecule: ribosomal RNA, 209 nt
Filed under: uncultured bacterium
Lineage: Bacteria
Description: partial 16S ribosomal RNA
Rfam family: Bacterial small subunit ribosomal RNA
Source: RNAcentral
CGCGUAGGCGGCCUUCUAAGUCAGACGUGAAACUCCCCCGGCUUAACCCUGGGAACUGCGUCUGAUACUGGGAGGCUUGAGUAUGGGAGAGGGAUGUAGAAUUCCAGGUGUAGCGGUGAAAUGCGUAGAUAUCUGGAGGAAUACCGGUGGCGAAGGCGGCAUCCUGGACCACAACUGACGCUGAGGCGCGAAAGCUAGGGGAGCAAACG